This 76-nucleotide transfer RNA is filed under the name Armatimonadota bacterium. RNAcentral's name for it is "Armatimonadetes bacterium (bioreactor metagenome) tRNA-Arg". It matches the Rfam family "tRNA". From Rfam's summary of the family: Transfer RNA (tRNA) molecules are approximately 80 nucleotides in length. The record is from RNAcentral. Lineage: Bacteria; Bacillati; Armatimonadota.
GCGCCCGUAGCUCAGUGGAUAGAGCGCUUGCCUCCGGAGCAAGAAGUCCCGUGUUCAAAUCACGGCGGGCGUACCA